Molecule: ribosomal RNA, 800 nt
Filed under: uncultured bacterium
Lineage: Bacteria
Description: bacterial SSU rRNA
Rfam family: Bacterial small subunit ribosomal RNA
Source: RNAcentral
AUGAACGCUGGCGGCGCGCCUAACACAUGCAAGUCGAGCGAGCAGUCACUGUCCUUCGGGGUGGUGGCGGGCGAGCGGCGAACGGGUGAGUAACACGUGGGUAACCUGCCCCAGAGACGGGGAUAACCACUGGAAACGGUGGCUAAUACCCGAUGGCCUCAUCUACUCUGCGGGGUGGAUGAGGAAAGGGGCGGCAGUCGAAAGGCUGUCGUACCGCUCUGGGAGGGGCCCGCGGCCUAUCAGCUUGUUGGUGGGGUAACGGCCUACCAAGGCGACGACGGGUAGCUGGCCUGAGAGGGUGGUCAGCCACACGGGGACUGAGACACGGCCCCGACUCCUACGGGAGGCAGCAGUGAGGAAUCUUGCACAAUGGGCGCAAGCCUGAUGCAGCGACGCCGCGUGGAGGAAGAAGCCCUUCGGGGUGUAAACUCCUUUUCUGGGGGAAGAGGGAGGACGGUACCCCAGGAAUAAGCCACGGCUAACUCCGUGCCAGCAGCCGCGGUAAUACGGAGGUGGCGAGCGUUAUCCGGAUUUACUGGGCGUAAAGCGUCUGUAGGCGGUCGUGCAAGUCGGUGGUGAAAUCUCCCGGCUCAACUGGGAGGGGUCCAUCGAAACUGCACGACUCGAGGGCCGGAGAGGGGCAUGGAAUUCCCGGUGUAGCGGUGAAAUGCGCAGAUAUCGGGAGGAACACCAGAGGCGAAGGCGGUGCCCUGGCCGGAACCUGACGCUGAGAGACGAAAGCGUGGGGAGCGAUCGGGAUUAGAUACCCCGGUAGUCCACGCCGUAAACGAUGGGUGCUC